UGGGGAAUAUUGCACAAUGGGCGCAAGCCUGAUGCAGCCAUGCCGCGUGUGUGAAGAAGGCCUUCGGGUUGUAAAGCACUUUCAGCGAGGAGGAAGGUGGUGGACUUAAUACGUUCAUCAAUUGACGUUACUCGCAGAAGAAGCACCGGCUAACUCCGUGCCAGCAGCCGCGGCAAUACGGAGGGUGCAAGCGUUAAUCGGAAUUACUGGGCGUAAAGCGCNCGCAGGCGGUUUGUUAAGUCAGAUGUGAAAUCCCCGGGNUCAACCUGGGAACUGCAUUUGAAACUGGCAAGCUAGAGUCUCGUAGAGGGGGGUAGAAUUCCAGGUGUAGCGGUGAAAUGCGUAGAGAUCUGGAGGAAUACCGGUGGCGAAGGCGGCCCCCUGGACGAAGACUGACGCUCAGGUGCGAAAGCGUGGGGAGCAAACAGGAUUAGAUACCCUGGUAGUCCACGCUGUAAACGAUGUCGAUUUGGAGGUUGUGCCCUUGAGGCGUGGCUUCCGGAGCUAACGCGUUAAAUCGACCGCCUGGGGAGUACGGCCGCAAGGUU
Molecule: ribosomal RNA, 548 nt
Filed under: uncultured bacterium
Lineage: Bacteria
Description: partial 16S ribosomal RNA
Rfam family: Bacterial small subunit ribosomal RNA
Source: RNAcentral